GUGUGCUCUACCCAUUGUGCUUGUUUUGUUUUCUCCUUUUUUUUGUUGUGACUAUUGGAAGCCUUGCUUCUGGUUUUGUUUGUACUUUGAGAUCAGGAAGAGCGCUCGUG
This is a long non-coding RNA of Sinocyclocheilus rhinocerous, 110 nucleotides long. RefSeq lists it as uncharacterized. The record is from RefSeq and is a predicted model, not a curated record. The transcript has 4 exons. NCBI's taxonomy places the organism in Eukaryota, Metazoa, Chordata, Actinopteri, Cypriniformes, Cyprinidae.